Long non-coding RNA from Triplophysa dalaica, 382 nucleotides. RefSeq lists it as uncharacterized. The record is from RefSeq and is a predicted model, not a curated record. NCBI's taxonomy places the organism in Eukaryota, Metazoa, Chordata, Actinopteri, Cypriniformes, Nemacheilidae. The transcript has 5 exons.
CUGACAGGAAGAUACCACCAUUGGAGAUUCAAGCCCAAGAAGGGAGUGCUCCAGUGCUUCCGGUCACCAUUUAAGUCACGGUGGUGACAAAAGACACUACACCUCUACUCCUGGACAUGGACAUUCCAGCCCGAGAAGGUAGCGCUCCAGCACUUCCAGUCACAAAUCAAGCCAUAGAAGUGACAGAAGACACUACACCUCUACUCCUGGACAUGGACUUCCAUGAAACCAGUAAAUGCUGAUGGUGAUUGACUGUAACACAACAACAUUACUCAAUGUUCUUUUUAACGAAGCCGUCAAAAAGUGGGACAGCAAGUCCACGGACCACAUAAUAGGCAAAGCCGUGGGAGACCACCUGAAACAUGCCCCUGGGCGAUCUGGC